RNAcentral lists this ribosomal RNA (1098 nucleotides) under uncultured ammonia-oxidizing bacterium. RNAcentral's name for it is "bacterial SSU rRNA". It matches the Rfam family "Bacterial small subunit ribosomal RNA", at positions 131 to 1225 of the family's 1533-position model. The record is from RNAcentral.
CUUAAGUGGGGAAUAACGCAUCGAAAGGUGUGCUAAUACCGCAUAAUCUCUGAGGAGAAAAGCAGGGGAUCGCAAGACCUUGCGCUUUUGGAGCGGCCGAUGUCUGAUUAGCUUGUUGGUGAGGUAAAAGCUUACCAAGGCUUCGAUCAGUAGCUGGUCUGAGAGGACGACCAGCCACACUGGGACUGAGACACGGCCCAGACUCCUACGGGAGGCAGCAGUGGGGAAUUUUGGACAAUGGGGGCAACCCUGAUCCAGCCAUGCCGCGUGAGUGAAGAAGGCCUUCGGGUUGUAAAGCUCUUUCAGCCGGAACGAAACGGUUACGGUUAAUACCCGUGACUACUGACGGUACCGGAAGAAGAAGCACCGGCUAACUACGUGCCAGCAGCCGCGGUAAUACGUAGGGUGCGAGCGUUAAUCGGAAUUACUGGGCGUAAAGCGUGCGCAGGUGGUUUUGUAAGUCAGAUGUGAAAUCCCCGGGCUCAACCUGGGAACUGCGUUUGAAACUACAAGGCUAGAGUGUGGCAGAGGGGGGUGGAAUUCCGCGUGUAGCAGUGAAAUGCGUAGAGAUGUGGAGGAACACCGAUGGCGAAGGCAGCCCCCUGGGUCAACACUGACGCUCAGGCACGAAAGCAUGGGGAGCAAACAGGAUUAGAUACCCUGGUAGUCCAUGCCCUAAACGAUGUCAACUAGUUGUCGGGCCUUAACGGGCUUGGUAACGUAGCUAACGCGUGAAGUUGACCGCCUGGGGAGUACGAUCGCAAGAUUAAAACUCAAAGGAAUUGACGGGGACCCGCACAAGCGGUGGAUUAUGUGGAUUAAUUCGAUGCAACGCGAAAAACCUUACCUACCCUUGACAUGUAUCGAAGCCCGCAGAAAAGUGGGUGUGCCCGAAAGGGAACGAUAACACAGGUGCUGCAUGGCUGUCGUCAGCUCGUGUCGUGAGAUGUUGGGUUAAGUCCCGCAACGAGCGCAACCCUUGUCAUUAAUUGCCAUCAUUUAGUUGGGCACUUUAAUGAGACUGCCGGUGACAAACCGGAGGAAGGUGGGGAUGGCGUCAAGUCCUCAUGGCCCUUAUGGGUAGGGCUUCACACGUAA